GAUGAACGCUGGCGGCGUGCCUAAUACAUGCAAGUCGAGCGAACAGACGAGGAGCUUGCUCCUCUAACGUUAGCGGCGGACGGGUGAGUAACACGUGGAUAACCUACCUAUAAGACUGGGAUAACUUCGGGAAACCGGAGCUAAUACCGGAUAAUAUAUUGAACCGCAUGGUUCAAUAGUGAAAGACGGUUUUGCUGUCACUUAUAGAUGGAUCCGCGACGCAUUAGCUAGUUGGUAAGGUAACAGCUUACCAAGGCAACGAUGCGUAGCCGCCCUGAGGGGGUGAUCGGCCACCGUGGAACUGAGAUACGGGCCAGACUCAUACGGGAGGAAGCAGUAGGGAACCUUCCGCAAUGGGCGAAAGCCUGACGGAGCAACGCCGCGUGAGUGAUGAAGGUCUUCGGAUCGUAAAACUCUGUUAUUAGGGAAGAACAAAUGUGUAAGUAACUAUGCACGUCUUGACGGUACCUAAUCAGAAAGCCACGGCUAACUACGUGCCAGCCGCCGCCGUAA
RNAcentral lists this ribosomal RNA (513 nucleotides) under uncultured bacterium. RNAcentral describes it as "partial 16S ribosomal RNA". It matches the Rfam family "Bacterial small subunit ribosomal RNA", at positions 28 to 523 of the family's 1533-position model. The record is from RNAcentral.